CGUUCUUUUUCCUCUCGCGGUCCCCAGGAGCCCAGGCACCCCUCGACGCCGCUGCCGGCGGAACCGGGAACCCUCCCCGGGGCUCCCUGCGGGCCCGAAGCCGCCUUCCCGAGGCGGCGGAGUUGGGCAGCUCCGGGCCCCGCGCCGCCCCGCGCCGCCCCGCGGAGCCGGAGUUUCUCUCCGGAGUCUGGACACAGCUCUCCGCUUCGUCGCCGCGCACUGGACCCCGGUAGCGUGGAGCCUGCCCGGGAAGCUGGGCUGCGCCGGCCUGGGGCGAAGGUCCAAGGGGCGCGGGGGCCGGGACGCGGGGCUGUGGCGACGACCGGCCCUCUGCGAACGCUCAGGCCGGCGGGUCCGGGGCCACAGGCUGGGAGUGGAGCUGGCGGCCACUGGGGAGUAGAGAGGACGCCCAGGAACAGGUGCACCAGGGUCCCGGCGGCUGGGCCGAGGGUCGCAAGCAGAGGGGACCGGCGGCUGCCAGCAAGUCCCAAGCAGAUGCCUCCGGCGGGGCAGCCGCAUUUUACAGCGCCCAUUCCGCGUACAUCGAGUAUCCAAAACGAGUAAAAUCGGUUUAUACGUUGGAAUGUAGCUUAUGAUUCCAAAAUCUCAUCUCCAGGCUGCCUAGAUCACACGGCCCCGUUUCAUUCAUUUUUACUGAAUAACGGUCGUUGGACAAUUUAGAGAAGCAGCAGAAACCACGAGAAAAACAGUGGAGUCAAACGGCGGCGCUGUUGUAGGAGCAAGGUAUACAAUGAUGAUCAAGGCAGAUGCAGCCCUUACCUUCAGGUCGUGGAGUCCGGAUACAGACUGGAGGCAGAGGCAGCUGUAAGAUGUGUGACAAAUGCUGCGCUGGAUCAGCCCAUGGUAUUAGGAGAGCAGCCUCCCAAAGUGCUGGGAUUGCAGGUGCGAGCCACCGGGUCCAGCCUCUCAGGCGAUUUUCAUACCUGCAUACUCUGAUCACUACGCUGUUAAACAGUCAAGGAGGGUAAGUAUUAUCUUCAGAUUUCCAGAGCUCUGUCUCUGUACAGCCCUCUCCUCCUCAAUAUUCUGCCCUAUGAAUUCUAGCCACAUUGGCCUUCCCAGACUCACAGUUCUGUCUUCUCAACUCAGGAAGAUCUCUGAGCUCCAUCUGCAUUCUUUCUUCCUGUGCUGUGGCUUGGAAAGUUUUCUAAGGUGUUUGGGAGGUCAAUUGUGGGGCUAGCCUCAUUUGUUUCUCAUCUCUUGAGGAUCACUGCCCUUUGAUGCUUGAUUCCAGUGAUUGAUUCCCUUUGUUGCUUGAGGGCCAUAGUUUCAUAUAUUUUGUCCAGUAUUUUUGUUGUUUUAGGUCAGAAAGUAAUUUUGGUCUCUGUUACUCCAUCUUGGCCAGAAGUGUAAGACCUAAGCAUUUACACAUCAAAAUACUGCACACAUAAUUUUAGUUUAAGCUACUUUUAAAAAAAUCUGCUUCAUUUUCCAUUAAGCAUUCUAUUUAGGGUAUUACAUUGUUUUUUUUGAAAUUCUGUUAUUGGCAGUUUCUAUUGCCUAUCAAUCCCAUUUAAAGAUAGUGCAUAGGGUAUUCUAAAAUAGCUGUUAAGCAAAGAGAAAAUUGGGCCUGAUAGGGUGAGAAUCACAGCUCUAAUACCUAGAGUGACCUUAUAAUGUAUUGUCCAAAGGAGAUAUUUUUGACAGUGAAAGAGGGUGUUGUUAGUAAUUAUAUCAGGACCAUGGCCUAAACCAGGACUAUCCCAGGCAGCCUGGGACAUAUUUGUACCCCAUCUCUAUUUAAUGCCUUUAUACAAUUCUUAAUUCUACCAGCCUUUAUUGAGCCUGCUUUCUUUGUCUAGCUGAGUGCCACGUGCUGACAUCACUAAGAUCAAUACAGCAAACUCUGAAAGAUGGACGGAGAGACAGGAGAUGGUCCUUUAUAAUGCAGUGUGAUCUGUGCUGCAAUAGAGUUUUGGAAGCUAGAAGUUCAAAACGAGGUGUUGGCAGCACCAUGCUCUCUCUGAAGAUGCUAGGAAGAAUCUGCUCCAUGCCUUUCCAUUCGCUUCUGGGGUUUCCUGCAAGCCCUGACAUUCCUUGGCUUGUAGAUACACCACCCCAGUUUCCGCCCCCAUCAUCACAUGGCCUCCUCUCUGUGUGUGCCUCUGCGUUCCCUCUAUUCUUCUUCUAAGGACACCGACACCAGUCAUAGUGGAUUAAGGGUCCACUCCUAACCAAUUACAUCUGCAACAACCCUAUUUCCAAAUAAAGUCACAUUCUAAGA
Molecule: long non-coding RNA, 2245 nt
Filed under: Homo sapiens (human)
Lineage: Eukaryota; Metazoa; Chordata; Mammalia; Primates; Hominidae
Description: HSALNT0350788
Source: RNAcentral